Long non-coding RNA from Oncorhynchus tshawytscha (Chinook salmon), 400 nucleotides. NCBI's taxonomy places the organism in Eukaryota, Metazoa, Chordata, Actinopteri, Salmoniformes, Salmonidae. The record is from Ensembl.
GGACAAGGUGACAGUAGGAUGGGAGGCUUGGGAGGGACACAGGGACGAGGUGAUGGGAUGGGAGGCUUGGGAGGGACACAGGGACGAGGUGUUGGGAUGGGAGGCUUGGGAGGGACACAGGGACGAGGUGAUGGGAUGGGAGGCUUGGGAGGGACACAGGGACAAGGUGAUGGGAUGGGAGGCUUGGGAAGGACACAGGGAUGAGGUGAUGGGAUGGGAGGCUUGGGAGGGACACAGGGACGAGGGGAUGGGAUGGGAGGCUUGGGAAGGACACAGGGAUGAGGUGACAGUAGGAUGGGAGGCUUGGGAGGGACGAGGUGACAGUAGGAUGGGAGGCUUGGGAAGGACACAGGGAUGAGGUGAUGGGAUGGGAGGCUUGGGAAGGACACAGGGAUGAGGU